RNAcentral lists this transfer RNA (73 nucleotides) under Candidatus Limnocylindria bacterium. RNAcentral describes it as "tRNA-Arg". It matches the Rfam family "tRNA". From Rfam's summary of the family: Transfer RNA (tRNA) molecules are approximately 80 nucleotides in length. Their secondary structure includes four short double-helical elements and three loops (D, anti-codon, and T loops). RNAcentral also lists the same sequence under 1 other name. Lineage: Bacteria; Bacillati; Chloroflexota; Candidatus Limnocylindria. The record is from RNAcentral.
GCGCCCGUAGCUCAGCGGAUAGAGCGUCUGCCUCCGGAGCAGAAGGCCGUGGGUUCGAGUCCCGCCGGGCGCG